UACGGAGGGGCCUAGCGUUGUUCGGAAUUACUGGGCGUAAAGCGCACGUAGGCGGAUUUGUAAGUCAGGGGUGAAAUCCCGAGGCUCAACCUCGGAACUGCCUUUGAUACUGCAAGUCUCGAGUCCGGAAGAGGUGAGUGGAAUUCCUAGUGUAGAGGUGAAAUUCGUAGAUAUUAGGAAGAACACCAGUGGCGAAGGCGGCUCACUGGUCCGGUACUGACGCUGAGGUGCGAAAGCGUGGGGAGCAAACAGG
RNAcentral lists this ribosomal RNA (253 nucleotides) under uncultured bacterium. RNAcentral describes it as "partial 16S ribosomal RNA". It matches the Rfam family "Bacterial small subunit ribosomal RNA", at positions 524 to 776 of the family's 1533-position model. The record is from RNAcentral.